GAUGAACGCUAGCGAUAGGCCUAACACAUGCAAGUCGAGGGGCAGCAUAGAGUAGUAAUACUUUGAUGGCGACCGGCGCACGGGUGAGUAACACGUAUGCAACCUACCUACAUCAGGGGAAUAACCCGGAGAAAUUCGGACUAAUACCGCAUAAUACAGGGAUGCCGCAUGGCAAUAUUUGUUAAAGAUUUAUCGGAUGUAGAUGGGCAUGCGUUCCAUUAGCUAGUUGGUGAGGUAACGGCUCACCAAGGCAACGAUGGAUAGGGGAACUGAGAGGUUUGUCCCCCACACUGGAACUGAGACACGGACCAGACUCCUACGGGAGGCAGCAGUGAGGAAUAUUGGUCAAUGGACGAGAGUCUGAACCAGCCAAAUCGCGUGAAGGAAGACUGCCCUACGGGUUGUAAACUUCUUUUGUACAGGAAUAAAAGACAUUACGUGUAAUGUAUUGCAUGUACUGUACGAAUAAGCAUCGGCUAACUCCGUGCCAGCAGCCGCAGUAA
Molecule: ribosomal RNA, 503 nt
Filed under: uncultured bacterium
Lineage: Bacteria
Description: partial 16S ribosomal RNA
Rfam family: Bacterial small subunit ribosomal RNA
Source: RNAcentral